CAGGACGAACGCUGGCGGCGUGCCUAAUACAUGCAAGUCGAACGCUUUUGUUUUCACCGGAGCUUGCUCCACCGAAAACAAAAGAGUGGCGGACGGGUGAGUAACACGUGGGUAACCUGCCCUCAAGCGGGGGAUAACACUUGGAAACAGGUGCUAAUACCGCAUAACAAUCAAAGUCGCAUGAUUUUGAUUUGAAAGGCGCUUUUGCGUCACUUGAGGAUGGACCCGCGGUGCAUUAGCUAGUUGGUGAGGUAACGGCUCACCAAGGCCACGAUGCAUAGCCGACCUGAGAGGGUGAUCGGCCACACUGGGACUGAGACACGGCCCAGACUCCUACGGGAGGCAGCAGUAGGGAAUCUUCGGCAAUGGACGAAAGUCUGACCGAGCAACGCCGCGUGAGUGAAGAAGGUUUUCGGAUCGUAAAACUCUGUUGUUAGAGAAGAACAAGGGUGAGAGUAGAAUGUUCACCCCUUGACGGUAUCUAACCAGAAAGCCACGGCUAACUACGUGCCAGCAGCCGCGGUAAUACGUAGGUGGCAAGCGUUGUCCGGAUUUAUUGGGCGUAAAGCGAGCGCAGGCGGUCUCUUAAGUCUGAUGUGAAAGCCCCCGGCUCAACCGGGGAGGGUCAUUGGAAACUGGGAGAC
This 644-nucleotide ribosomal RNA is filed under the name Enterococcus asini. RNAcentral describes it as "bacterial SSU rRNA". It matches the Rfam family "Bacterial small subunit ribosomal RNA", at positions 25 to 641 of the family's 1533-position model. The record is from RNAcentral. Lineage: Bacteria; Bacillati; Bacillota; Bacilli; Lactobacillales; Enterococcaceae.